Molecule: microRNA precursor, 172 nt
Filed under: Drosophila guanche
Lineage: Eukaryota; Metazoa; Arthropoda; Insecta; Diptera; Drosophilidae
Source: RNAcentral
GGCCAGCUCCUCCGCUCCCUCCCUCUCUUCCUCUCUCUCUCUCUCUCUCUCUCUGCCUCACCCUUUGUAAUUAGCAAGAUGAUUAGCUCGAUGAUUUAUGCUCCGACUUUGCAGUCUCACGGGAGAGAGAGAGAGAGAGAGGGUGAGAGAGCAAGAGUGCGAGCGAGUUAAG